Amborella trichopoda is the source of this 150-nucleotide non-coding RNA. The record is from Rfam. NCBI's taxonomy places the organism in Eukaryota, Viridiplantae, Streptophyta, Magnoliopsida, Amborellales, Amborellaceae.
GUGUUUGCUGGUGUAGCAUCAUCAAGAUUCACAUCUUGUAAGAGAUCCCUUUGAAUCGGUGGGAUCACACUUCACUACAUAAGAUCACGAUUUAGAGAGGGAAAGCUGACCAUAAGAUGGGAAUCUUGAUGAUGCUGCAUCGGCAAUAAG